GACGAACGCUGGCGGCGUGCUUAACACAUGCCAGUCGAACGAUGAUCUCCCGCUUGCGGGGGUGCUUAGUGGCGAACGGGUGAGUAAUACGUGAGUAACCUGCCCUUGACUCUGGGAUAAGCCUGGGAAACCGGGUCUAAUACUGGAUACUACUUCCUGCCGCAUGGUGGGGGGUGGAAAGGGUUUUACUGGUUUUGGAUGGGCUCACGGCCUAUCAGCUUGUUGGUGGAGUAAUGGCUCACCAAGGCGACGACGGGUAGCCGGCCUGAGAGGGUGACCGGCCACAGUGGGACUGAGACACGGCCCAGACUCCGACGGGAGGCAGAAGUGGGGAAGAUUGAACAAGGGGCGGGAGCCUGAUGCAGCGACGCCGCGUGAGGGAGGACGGCCUUCGGGUUGUAAACCUCAUUCAGCAGGGAAGAAGCCACAAGUGACGGUACCUGCAGAAGAAGCGCCGGCUAACUACGUG
Molecule: ribosomal RNA, 469 nt
Filed under: uncultured bacterium
Lineage: Bacteria
Description: partial 16S ribosomal RNA
Rfam family: Bacterial small subunit ribosomal RNA
Source: RNAcentral